UGAUGAUGAGGAUGAUGAUGAAGAGUAAAGUAGUCCUGAGAUUCACAGUGUGUGUUAUAUGUGAUUCUGUCAACUCUAUACCAUUUCCUGUUUUAUUUUGAAACCCCUUUCCCUAGGUGUUCAGCUGCUGACUUGACUUCCGGCCUCCGUGUGAUUUGCACCUGUGCAGAUGAUGAGUUCCACCUGAGUCUCAGCGGCUUCCUGUCUCCUCACUCUUUGUCUCUGAGGCUCUGCAGCUUGUCCUUGUGUCCUCUUGGGUCUUCUCUGUGUCUGCUGGACCACCUAUUUCCCAGGGACUCAUUCAUGGAUCUUGAUGAAACAGAAGAUGCACAACAGGAACAGGAAGUAGACGUGAUGUGUCUAAUGGGCUCAAACCACAGACUGAAGAUGAAGAUGAGCAACAUGACGGACCAGCCAAAGUGAAGCCAGAGUGUAUGAUCGCCACCUGCUGGCUGGCUGCAGUAUAGAUGGGACAUGG
This is a long non-coding RNA of Hippoglossus stenolepis (Pacific halibut), 478 nucleotides long. RefSeq lists it as uncharacterized. Lineage: Eukaryota; Metazoa; Chordata; Actinopteri; Pleuronectiformes; Pleuronectidae. The record is from RefSeq and is a predicted model, not a curated record. The transcript is spliced from 3 exons.